UGAUCAUAGUUUUCGAUGAAGCCACCAACGUACCACAGAGCAUUUUCUUUAUCGGGAGACAAGUGAGACAUUUUGUCAACAAUGUACGGAGAGCUUUUUGUAGGAUAGACUUCAAUCCAAUGACAUGACCAAAAAUUGCUAUAUUCAGAUGAUGAUGUAAAUUGUGAGAA
Amphimedon queenslandica is the source of this 170-nucleotide long non-coding RNA. RefSeq lists it as uncharacterized. The transcript is spliced from 3 exons. The record is from RefSeq and is a predicted model, not a curated record. Lineage: Eukaryota; Metazoa; Porifera; Demospongiae; Haplosclerida; Niphatidae.